This 3713-nucleotide long non-coding RNA is filed under the name Calidris pugnax (ruff). RNAcentral describes it as "lncRNA (ENSCPUG00000007952.1)". Lineage: Eukaryota; Metazoa; Chordata; Aves; Charadriiformes; Scolopacidae. The record is from RNAcentral.
AGAGAAAACCUGAGGAGGAGUCUCUGCUUCCACUGCUGCAUUGCAGAGGUCAGAGGAAAACAGUAAAACUCUGAAAUUUAAUGGUAAUGGAGAAUAUCCAUUUCAGUCUGUAAGUGGUGUCCAGAGCAGAUUAAGGAAAAAGAAGAGUCAUAUUUCAAAGGCAAAGGAGACCCUGGAUAUGCUGGUGUGUGCUCUUGAAGGGAAAAUCAGUAUGUCAGGACUCAGGUAUUUUGUAGCACCUUUAUUUUCUCUUGCAGGUGGUGACAGAGUACAGAAGUGGCCAGAGUCCAGCCAGCUUCAAUAGAUCAAUUCCUUUUAUCAGGUAAUGAUAUUGAAUAUCCUUAAUAUUACAUGAAACAAAGUAAAUGCCUGUUAGAGAGGGCUGGGUUACUGCUAAACUAAUGAAUGUCCUGUGUCUCUUCUGCACCUGUGGGUAUUUACUCAGGUCUCUGCACCAACCGGCAUUUUUCUCUUUCCCAUCUUGGCUUCAGUUGCUUUGAACCAAAAGACACCUUCACAAAUCAAAGGCCUUCAUGUGCAGUCUUUCCUGGUGACAGAUGCAACAAGUUUUGUGACAGGAAAAUGUACAAGAAGGAAAUGUGUGUGGGCACACAUCUGGAAGGAGGACUAAAAUUCUGGGCUGAAUCUAACAUCCAGUGCAAGGGAGAGUGCACAUCUGUCCUGAAGCAGAACAAGAGGAGGGUUUCAUACACCACUAUUUGCUCUACCAUCAAUCAAGAGCAGCCACCUACUAACAGGAACAACUUCAAUUGCAAGGACAGGUGAGGACCCACCUGGAGAAAGCAGGGAAAGACCUGGACUUCCUGAAAUAAUUAUCAGCACAGGCAAAUGAAGAUACUCUGUGGCUGAACAGACUAUCACAGAUUCUAUGCAGAAGGUCUCAGUGGGUGAGAAAGCAAGGAAGACUCCUCAUGCUUUGCACAGCUAUCCAGGUUGGCAGAGGAUGAAAAAUGGCCAGGAAGCGAUGAUGAAGCGAUUUCUGAUCGGACUUGUGGCUGGAGCUUUGCAGCAAGGAAUUUCCCCAGCAGGUGCUGGUUGCAAUCAGACAUUGACAAAUAUCUUUGGCCAUGCAGGAGUCACUCUGAGGGACACAGUGCAGGUAGUGUGCCAUGCUGGUGGGAGCACGUGGAGAUUCGUGCAAUGCAUCUCUGGUGACUGGCUCUUAAUGACAGAGAAGUGUCCAUAUCUCUCUGAUGUCACCACAUCACAACAAGCAACAAAGUCUUCUGUAGCUGGACUUGUUUAUAAGAUGCUCAACAGAGUUUUCUUCUUUUAGUAUCAAAAAUCAUAGAAUCAUAGAAUCAUAAAUUUGUUUGGGUUGGAAGAUCAAACCCUGAAGAUCAUUCAGUUCCAACCCCCCUACCAUGGGCAGGGACACCUCCCACUAGAUGAGGUUGCUCUAAGCCUCAUGCAGCCUGGCCUUGAUAUACAAAAUGUAUGAUAUUUUAUUUCUAUAUUGUGUUAUUUACCUGUAGGAAUUAAAUUGCAUUUCUAUCCCCAUUCUGAAAGUUUGUUUCUUUCCAAUUCUUUUGUGUCAAGGUUUAAAAUAUUAGGGAACCUUAUAGUUCAUCAUUUGCAUUUUAGAUGUUGCAAAAGCAAAAUAAUUUGCAAUGUGGUACUCAUCACCCCUAUGACUUUAAUCACUAUAGUCCUGUUUCUACAUUUCUUUGCAAGUUAAAAUACAGUGUUAAGUUCAAACCAACAAAUGCCAUCUUUAUUCCAGCAUGUCUCAGAAAUCACUGUGGCUUCUAGAAUGUCUAAAUAUUCUAAAUUGAUGGACUUAGAAAAAAUUCACCUCCUGACUCCAGAGUCACAUGGAGCUGCACAACACUGAAUCAGGGAAAGGUAGCAAGAACACCAGAUAGAGAAGAAAAUACCUUCUUUAACAUGUGGAACCAAAAGCUACAACACUUAACAGGGAUUUUAAUUACACCAAUGUGCAAAGAGACAGCAAAGAUGUGUUGGGACUCUUGUAUUUGUCCUCUAUAGACAAACAGUGGGAAACAGUAGGAAACAGUUUUUCUGUCAUGCUUCAUUUUGUUUCUCUGAGUAUUUUUUCAUGGUUUAGGUUUGCUGAUGCUUUUGCUUUUGGAAAAUGCCCAGAAACUUCUAAAUGUUCUGGAAAGUCCUGGACCUGUGCAGGAGAUCCUGUUGUCUUGACCUGCAGAAGAACACUCACAAGAAGAUGAACAGAAGCACUUCCUCCUGUCUCUUCCAAUGAGAUCUUUAAUCUCUGUAUGCGGUUUAUGCCUGUGGCUUUCUGAGGAUACCUCAGCAUCUCCAACUACAGACCAUAAAAGAGAACCUGCAAGGUAGACCGAUAAGGCUGGUAAGCCAUCCUCACCACAUGUGGCAGGCUGUUUAAAAUAACUUAUAUUUUCUUAGUGAACUCUUACCUUUCAUUUUAAGAAAUACUUAAGAAAAAAACUAUUGCUUUUGUGCUUAAAGUAGUGCAGAGUGGAGUUUUCCAGCCACGUGGUUCAGUUGAUGCAUGCAGAGCCAGCUUUGCUCAGUUGGGGGAAAAACAGAGGUAUGGGGUCUGGACGAGGGGUAACGGUUUUAAACUGAAAGAGAAGAAAACUAUUGCUUUUGCGCUUAAGGUAGUGCAGAGUGGAGUUUUCCAGCCUCGUGGUUCAGGUGAUGCAUGCAGAACCAGCUUUGCUCUGUUGGGGGAAAAACAGAGCUAUGGGGUCUGGACGAGGGGUAAAGAUUUUAAACCUAAAGGGGGGAGAUUCAGAUGAGAUCUGGGGAAGAAACUGCUGUGAGGGUGGUGAGACACUGGCACAGGUUGCCCAGAGAAGCUGUGGCUGCCCCAUCCCUGGAGGGGUUCAAAGCCAGGCUGGAAGGGGCUUGGAGCAACCUGGCGUGAUGGGAGGUGUCCCUGCCCAGGGCAGGGGGAUGGAACUAGAUGGUCUUCCAACCCAAACCAUUCUAUGACUCUAUGAUUUUGGCAUCUUUGAAGGCUCUUUGAAGAGAGGUGGAGGUGCUGACCACUCAGAGGACUGACAAAGUGGAUUUUAAGCAAAGUUUGGGGAGAUUAGCCCAAAGAGAGGGAGAAAGCAGAGUGAAUGGGGAAGGCAGAAGUGAGCAGGAGUGGAGAGGAAGCUGCUCACAAGCACCCAGGGUGGAGGGUGCUUGGUACUCAGCUUCUUCCCCACGUGCUGACCUGCCAGGCCAUGCAUCAGGCAAGAGCCGGAGGCCAAUGCACUCUCUCAGGAUGACGGAACAGAUUUAUUUACUUUUGGUCUAUAGAAAGCAAAAAAAAAACAAAAACCCAGGUCAAAUAUUGAAAACAUUUCUCAAAAAAAUGUAAUGUUCUUGUUUUCAAGUGCUGGGUUGGACGAUGAGGCAUUGUCUUCACAUGCAAACAAUCCUUAGCUUCUGCAGGGCUCUCUGCAUCACUAGUCAAAUUCUCUGCUUGGAAACUAGACUUUCUAGAAAUUUUUUUUCAUCUGCCCAAAGGCUUUACUUUCUCCACUUAAUCUACUGCUGAUCUCUUCAACAUAGUAAACAUACCCAUCUUCUCACAGGGUUGACUUCAGUUUUGAUGUUUAUGUAUCUGCAGAAGAGCAGACACAGUUGUAUACAUUAGAGAGUUUAGCUUGAAAACUGUUGUGUUGUUCUUUAUGGGAUAGAUUCUUUCUUCCUUUCUCCCGCAAAGCUGUAAGAGAAUAAAAAGAAAUUACCUUUCA